AUACUUACCUGGACGGGGUCGACGGGCGAUCAAUAAGGCCCGUGGCCUAGGUUAGUGGCACACAUUGCACCUGGUGAGUGCGCCGGCCUAUCAUCUCCCUAAGUGGGAGAGUGAACGUCGUAAUUUGUGGUAGAGGAGGUACGCGUUCGUGCAGCCCUUGC
Molecule: non-coding RNA, 161 nt
Organism: Triticum aestivum (bread wheat)
Lineage: Eukaryota; Viridiplantae; Streptophyta; Magnoliopsida; Poales; Poaceae
Source: Rfam